Manduca sexta (tobacco hornworm) is the source of this 666-nucleotide long non-coding RNA. RefSeq lists it as uncharacterized. The record is from RefSeq and is a predicted model, not a curated record. The transcript has 3 exons. NCBI's taxonomy places the organism in Eukaryota, Metazoa, Arthropoda, Insecta, Lepidoptera, Sphingidae.
UAUUGUUAAAAGAGUAAACUCUGUCCCAGAUAAACUACACACAUAUACAAUUUACAAUUGAUAAUGAACGUAGAUACGUUUCUGGGCUUAUCAAAUAUUUCGAGUUAAAUGUAACUGCAGUGUACAAAUAUUAAAACCCAUUAUAUUACAUUAGUGUAAGUAGACGAAUAAGUAAAUAUUUGGUGAUAACAUUCAGUAUUAUCAACUGAGUAUACAUAAAUUUAAUGGGUAAUUCUGUCAGUUUCCGAUGCGCAUUAGAUGCUGAGAUAGGAGUCGCGACCGUGGAUUCGAUAUCUACCCUGCACGACGGUAACAGACUAGGCAAUGUAUGACGAAGUCUUAGUUCCCCAUACUAAGGAUACCUAUAAUAUGUCAGGCAAGAGUACACAGUGCAGACGGUUUUCUUUGAAUGCGUAAGCGCAUCGGUCUGCGGCUAUGGUCGAUGUCGGGCGUAAACGCGGAUGAAUGAAUCAACGGCGCGGAGCGGCGAGCGCGUCGCAGGCGCUGGCUAUCGCACCGUGACGUAAUCCAGAAGGCGUGUUCUUUUCAACCUUCUGUAACGUUCCAUCGAUCAUGGCUCUUCACAUAAAGAUUAUUCGACGGGAGAAAGCGGCAAAACAGUAUGUUUAACAAUAGUUAUUGUAAUGAGUAAAAAAUAUUAUUAUA